This 1688-nucleotide long non-coding RNA is filed under the name Homo sapiens (human). RNAcentral's name for it is "HSALNT0295509". Lineage: Eukaryota; Metazoa; Chordata; Mammalia; Primates; Hominidae. The record is from RNAcentral.
ACGGGCUGGAUGGAAAACUCUUUCCAGACAGACUCCGGGGCCCUCAACUGGUCUCCGACCUUCCCCUGCAACCUGCGACACCUGCCAUUUUCCCAUCUUAGGCUCCAGAAGCAGAAUCAAGUGGGAUGUCUUGGAAGAAAAACAAACAAAAGGCCCACUAGGUGGAGUGAAAUGGAUCAGGAGCAAUUAUGUUCAAUUUCACCUUUAAGUUUUCUCAAAAGGAGGAGCAUUAAGAAUCAGCCACCUUAGUACAUACUUAAAGACUUUCCAGUUUUAAUCUUCUAGAUUUACUGAAACCUGAUCCUGUCCCCGCUGAUGAAACAUCAGAGGAAUGGGAUCCUGUAGGUGAAGAUCAUCAGCUUAUAAAAUCCUGUUGCCAUCAAUGGGGGUAGCAGGAAAAUGAUGAAGAUUGGUUAAGGGGCCAGUGGACUCAGCAUUGAAAUGAAUCAUGGACUUGAAGCCAAAAGACUCAGUUUGUGUCCCAGCUCUCUCAAGCAAAGCCCCCAAGUCCCAGUUUCCUCAUCUAUAAAAAAUAAUAAAAAUACUUAAUGGACAAAGUUGUGUGGGAAUCAAAUGAGAUAAAGUAUGCGCUGCAUAUGCCCUAAAGUCUUAUUUAAAUAAAGGCAUUCUUUUCAUCUGAGAAAUUGAAGAAAAAGAUGCCCUGAACAAGAAAGACAGGAGAAAAGAUUUUUUUUUUUUUUAAUGAAGGAUAAAAUGAUGAAAUCCCCCCAGGUAUUGCUACAGAAAGGCCUUACCCAUGAGCUGUAGGCAUAUAUCCGGUCCUAAGGUCCAUUUUGGAGUAGCCCAGCACUCAGUCUGAAAGAUUGGACACUGAGAAAUAUGUGCAUCCCAUUUUUCUAACUAGCAGCAUUUUGAUCCUGUCUUAUUAUCCAUACCCAGGCUAGCACACAUGAUUUUUUCUGCUUGCACUUCAGGAGAAGAUAGUCAUUGGACAAAAGGUGGGUCAUUCUCACGUUGACCAAGUUUCUGUUCCAGUAUCACCCUCCCAGUCCACAGGUCGAGAGGAACCAUACUUGAAGAAACAUACCUGAAGGGUUUCAUCCAUAUGUGGGCCUGAUUUGGAUGAUAAAAUCCUGCAUCUUGAGCCUGAUCUUGAUGCUGCCUGUGUUCUGAUGCCAUCAGGAGUUGAGAGUCUAGGGGUUUUAGAAAGGGUGAAUGUAUUUUCCCAUAGGCAAGGAACAUAAUCAAUGGCCAAAAUGUGCACUGUGACAGAUUAAAGGUUGCUACAAAUUCUCUGAUACCCUUCCAUUAAGAGGUAGGGCAGAUAUUCCCUCCCCUCAAAUCUGGGUGGGCUCCAUGACUUGCUUUGAUCAACAGAAAACGGCAGCAGUGAUGCUGGGCCAGUUGUUGGAUCCAGGCCUUAAGAACCAACAACUUCCACUUAAGUUCUCUUGGAACACUGAGUCCCUGACUACCCUAAUAUCAUGUUGGAAAGGCUACAUGUAGGCACUCUAGUUGCCAGUCCCAGCCAAGACCAGCUUUUCAGCCAUCCCCAUCACUAAAUUUGUAAAUGAAGCCAUCUGGAAUCUCCAGACCAGCUCAUUUGGCAGCUGGGUAUCAUCAAGUUAUCUCUGCUGACUCCACAUGGAACAAAGGAAUCACCCAGCUGAGCCCUAUUCAAACUAUUGACCAAAAAAAUAGUGAGACAUAAUAAAAUGAUGUUUUAA